This 88-nucleotide transfer RNA is filed under the name Hyphomicrobiales bacterium. RNAcentral's name for it is "Rhizobiales bacterium tRNA-Leu". It matches the Rfam family "tRNA". From Rfam's summary of the family: Transfer RNA (tRNA) molecules are approximately 80 nucleotides in length. Their secondary structure includes four short double-helical elements and three loops (D, anti-codon, and T loops). The record is from RNAcentral. Lineage: Bacteria; Pseudomonadati; Pseudomonadota; Alphaproteobacteria; Hyphomicrobiales.
GCGGACGUGGCGGAACUGGUAGACGCAACGGACUUAAAAUCCGUUUGGCCUUGCGCUAGUGUGAGUUCGAAUCUCAUCGUCCGCACCA